This 232-nucleotide ribosomal RNA is filed under the name uncultured bacterium. Its description in RNAcentral is "partial 16S ribosomal RNA". It matches the Rfam family "Bacterial small subunit ribosomal RNA", at positions 332 to 582 of the family's 1533-position model. The record is from RNAcentral.
UGGGCCCUACGGGAGGCAGCAGUGGGGAAUAUUGCACAAUGGGGGAAACCCUGAUGCAGCGACGCCGCGUGAGCGAUGAAGUAUUUCGGUAUGUAAAGCUCUAUCAGCAGGGAAGAAAAUGGCGGUACCUGACUAAGAAGCCCCGGCUAACUACGUGCCAGCAGCCGCGGUAAUACGGAGGGGGCAAGCGUUAUCCGGAUUUACUGGGUGGAAAGGGAGCGUAGAAGGUCCU